This 253-nucleotide ribosomal RNA is filed under the name uncultured bacterium. RNAcentral describes it as "partial 16S ribosomal RNA". It matches the Rfam family "Bacterial small subunit ribosomal RNA", at positions 524 to 776 of the family's 1533-position model. The record is from RNAcentral.
UACGGGGGGGGCAAGCGUUGUUCGGAAUCACUGGGCAUAAAGGGCGCGUAGGCGGGUUUCCAAGUCGGUUGUGAAAUCCCUCAGCUCAACUGAGGAACUGCAUCCGAUACUGUUUGUCUUGAGGACGGGAGGGGAGAGUGGAACUUCUGGUGAAGCGGUGAAAUGCGUAGAUAUCAGAAGGAACGCCGGUGGCGAAAGCGACUCUCUGGCCCGUAUCUGACGCUGAAGCGCGAAAGCUUGGGUAGCAAACGGG